ACUCAAUAGAUACCCGGGUAGUCCACGCCGUAAAACGAUGCAUACUAGCUUUUGGGGAGUAUCGACCCUCCCUUGAGGCGAAAGCUAAACGCGUUAAGUAUGCCGCCUGGGGAGUACGAGCGCAAGCUUAAAACUCAAAGGAAUUGACGGGGACCUGCACAAGCGGUGGAGCGUGCGGUUUAAUUCGUCAUUAAGCGGAGAACCUUACCAAGGCUUGACAUCUCUGGAACCCCUGAGAAACCAGGGGGUGCCGAAAGGAGCCAGAUGACAGGUGCUGCACGGUUGUCGUCAGCUCGUGCUGUGAAGUGUCCCGUUCAGUCGGUUAACGAGCGCAACCCUUAUCCUGUGUUUCAUGUGUCACAGGAAACUGCCCAUGUUAAGUGGGAGGAAGGUGAGGAUGACGUCAAAUCAGCGUGGCUCUUACGCCUUGGGCUACACGCGCGCUACAAUGGGGUGUAACAAUGGGUCGCAAACCGCGAGGGGGAGCUAAUCCCACCAAACCACCCCACUUCGGAUAGGAGGCGUGCAAUUACGCCUCCACUGAAGUCGGAA
RNAcentral lists this ribosomal RNA (552 nucleotides) under uncultured bacterium. RNAcentral describes it as "bacterial SSU rRNA". It matches the Rfam family "Bacterial small subunit ribosomal RNA", at positions 772 to 1331 of the family's 1533-position model. The record is from RNAcentral.